Molecule: unclassified non-coding RNA, 891 nt
Filed under: Hevea brasiliensis (rubber tree)
Lineage: Eukaryota; Viridiplantae; Streptophyta; Magnoliopsida; Malpighiales; Euphorbiaceae
Source: RNAcentral
UAAAGGCUUAGUUGAGUUGAGUAGCGCACUUGGUUCGAAAUAGUUAGUGGUGUUGUGUUUGAUCCUCUUGCUUUGAAGCUAGCAUCAUCCUUCUAACCAUAUAGUUUUGCUCCUCAUCAAGCUCCUCUUCAUAUUCAUCUUCUUCCCCUUCGACUUCACAACAAAUUUCAACCUCAUCUUCCUCUUCUCUUGCAACAACAUUCACCAUCUUCCUCGAAGAAAAAUCACUAGAACGAUGCCCUUGCUGAUUGCACUUGAAACACUUCCCAUGGAUUGGUCUAGAAUAAGGAUUGGCAGCUUUAGGUGUCUCUUUCUCCUUCCCUUCAUUCAUGGGACGCUUUCCGGCUGCUUUCUCCUCUUGGACAAGCUCUUUGCUAGUAUAGUUGCUACCCUACUUCUCAUAAGAUCCACCAUAAUUAUUUGCUUUAGCUCUGGCAACUAGACUGGCAGUUUUACAAGAAUCAAAACUCCUCCUUUGCAUCAUCUCCAUCUUCAAGGCCAUAAUUUUAGCCUCGGAUAAGGUCCCCAAUACUGGAACUCCAAUGCGAUCCUUGAUGAACGGCUUUAAUCCCUCCAAAUUACUUGCAAUCCAUUGCCCUUCAGAUUUAUGAAGGUUGUUUCUUUUAGCAAACCUCAUGAAUUUAGCUAUGUAUUCAUGAACCAUUCGGCUACCUUGUUGGCAUCUUUAGUAUUGUUGGAAGAGAAUUUACUCAUAAUCUGGAGGUAAAAACUCUUAAUGUAGCAAAUACUUCAUCUGAUACCAAGUUCAAACCGGUCCCUUACCUUCUCGCUCCCUCCUAGAUUGCAAUCACUCUCACCAAGCAGAGGCUCUACCCUUCAAACAAAUCUGGUAUGUAUUUUUUCUUAUCAUUUUCUUCUUCUUCUUCUUCU